This 1854-nucleotide long non-coding RNA is filed under the name Sparus aurata (gilthead seabream). RNAcentral describes it as "lncRNA (ENSSAUG00010025617.1)". The record is from RNAcentral. Lineage: Eukaryota; Metazoa; Chordata; Actinopteri; Spariformes; Sparidae.
AUGAAUUGGACGGGGGGUUCAAGGAACCGGUUAGUAAUGAAAAACGACGCCAAAAAGCAGAAGGAGUAUUUCGAGAGGAGGAAAAUGCAACAGAGAUUGAGGAAAAUGGGACUUACUCUGCCAACGACUCCUGGAAGCACCAGUUCUAGUAGUAUGGACCUGGUGACCUUGUUCAUAGUCAACCAGAUUGCUGCUAAGAAAGAAAAUAAAGAUCCUCCUAAAGUCGCGGUCCUUGGUAGCUGUAAAGGAAGAUCUCAGUACAAGAGAAAUGCGCCCCUGGUACUCCCAAUGAGCCCCUGCUCUCCGUCACAGCUGGAUUUUGUUGAGAGCCAACCUCAGUACAGCGUCCAAGCAACAGGAAAGAACAAGCAUGUCAUUCCACGAGGGUUCAGGUGUCGACAGCUGUCACCAGUGCUGGAGUCAGCUUUCUCAGACAACAGUGCAUCUGACUACCUGCCACCCAUAACUGACCCCCUCAGCCCCUUCUCCUCCACGUCAUCAGCUUCCUCAGGACAAGGAAUGUUCCCCCAGCUGAAUCCGCAACAGAGAAGCCAGAUGCGGACACAACUACCUCCUCACUGCUCCCCUCGACCCUGGGACACCUCAGGGCUGGAGCAGACCAAGUUUCAGCCUUUCUCCCAGCCCAGAGGUAUGACAGACAGUGUCCCCUGGUCUUAUGGAUCUAACACAACCCUCUACCAACUUGAGACACCCACAGCAGCCAAUGUCCUGUUUGGAAGUUCAGAGCCAGAUAACACAGACAAUAGGAACCAUGCAAGACAGGAGGUCACCUUCUCUCUCGACCAACCAGAGGACAGGGAGCAAAUGUUGGACUUCACUUUCAACCAAUCAGAAACUGAGUCGCAGAUUGAGGGGGAUGUCUUUAGGGGCUUCAGCACUGAAGAAAGUGAAGCAGCUUCUCCAUUUGGGAGAGUGGCAUCAAAGAUACAUCUCAAAGAUGAAACACCAGUAAAAUCCUCAACACCACAAACUGUCCCGGACUCACAGUGCAUGAGAGUGGAGCUCUCCAACUGCACUGACACAAACUUUUCAUUUCUUGAACACAACAAUGGCCCGAUGAAUGGCUGCAACUGCUCGCCAAGUUACUCUUGUAGCGGAGGUUACCUCAGUUCAGAUUCAAAUGAUGAAGAAGAAUACUGUCAGCCAAGCCACCAGGCUGCCUCUUCAUAUGUGGACCAAGCCUGUAGUGUAGAUAAGCCAAACCCAAACCGGAGCUUGCAGGAGAAUCCAAAUCAAAGUCACACUCAGCCCAAGCUUCUCACCCCAGUCCUAAAACCCCAGAUUUCAGGAAGUAAUAACCAACAAAUGGGAAGCCACGUAGCUCAGUUGAACUCUCAUCAGGCUCUGGCUGAGACUCUGAGCUCACAGUUGUGCAAAUGCAAGAAAACACCCACUGAAACUCGAGAUGCGGGAACUCAAACUGCUGACAACCCCACAGCUGAGACAUGUGAUGCAUCUACUCAGUACAGCUUUGUUGGAGACACUGCAACCAAAGUCACUGGGUCUAACUUGUGCCUGCCACCUGUUGAUGUGUCAGUGCAGCAUACAGCCACAGGGAGGCAGACCGACACUGCCGCAGAGUCAGAUACACACACACCUUCACCAGGCGAGAGACCCAUAAACCCCUUUCAAGAUGCUCUGAGCAAGACCAAGCAGAGAGCGUGCAGAAAUGAGAGAGGGCAAGAAGAAAAUGGCUGUCUGAUGAAAGACCCCUCCAGCGAAGUGAGGGAAGAGGUCUUAGCUGCCACCGAAGUUAGCAGACACUCAGAAGAGGCCGCGACACUUCAGGAAAUAGCUAACAUUUUGCUCCUGCUCAAACAGAGGGAGAAGUAG